GCAAAUGCUCUUCUAUCCUUUCAUUUACUCAAAAUUUUCCCCCUUCCAGAGAAAAAUAGUACACUAGAAUGAACAGCGCAUAAAAUUCAUAAUUGCAGCAUAGAAAACAAGUGUUCACGACAAUAAUAGCCAAAAAUCUCAUAUACUUCCUAUAUGCCUUAACAUAUGCUUUCACAUAACAUCUUUAAUGGUGAAGUUCACAAAUAAGACUACAAUUACUUGUAAUAUGAAAGCAGCAACAAUCUACUAGAUACUAUCCGCCAUGCAAGGUUGAAAUAAAGACGACCACAUCCUUCUCUUCCAGUGUGGUAUCAAGCUGGCCACUAAGCUCCCAAUCACAAUCAUUCACGAGGACCAGGACGCCAGGUCUCCUGAGAGAGAAACCAAGAAAUUGGCACAAUUAACAAAACUGAAAUGAUGAUAAAUUCAUCAGCCCUUUGUGUAAAUUUUCUUUUCUUUGUUUUAACUAAACCAAUCUCCAGAUAAUCCCCUUCUUGAACUGCAAUAGAACUUGAUUUAAAAUAGGACUAAUCUUGCAUCACUUAGAAUGAAUUUGCAUAUGCAUAAACAACAACAGGGCAAAUGCUUAAAAACAUACACAGAAUCCCCUUUCAUGAACAUUUCAGGCCUCUCCUUGAUUAAAUUUGUGCGAACCCAAGCGAGCAAGUCUUUCAUGGUUAACUGGGCAAUGUAGAAGGGAUCAUAAAGAAUAAUGUCAAUAACAAGUAGUGUACCACUAUUAUAAAUUUUGGUCAUUGAAAUAAAGUUUACCUUCUCUACUCCAUUUUUCAGUUGGACAUUGACAUUAUGAAUCUUCAUUGAAUUACAAAGGAGCUCUAGCCCUCCACUGCAUCACAAAGAUAAUCCGAUGAAGAUUUGGUAAUCGAGCGUAAAGCGAGAGAAAGAAGAUCAGUUAUGUACUUAAAUAAAAUCAAACAUAAUAACAAGUUAAAUGCUCGAAUAUUUCAUCAAAUUCCAAGAGACUAGAAUCUAAAAGCCCUCGGGACUUGAAAUUUCUGCUCUCCAUUGGAGCAAAAAAGUUAGUUAAAGAAAGGUAACGGGAGGGACAUGAUCCUGAAUGGGAUCCCUAAAUUUUCAUUUCACAAAGCAUAACAAUUCAUGAGAAAACCCCAAGCGCAUAGAAUUACACUAGUUCAAGCCUCCUAACGGACCAGAAAUUCAACAUGCCGUUUCAAUUUGAUGAAAAAGAAGCAAUAUUUGAAAAGAUUAGAAGUCAGAUUCCGCGUGGGGAAAAAAUAGAAAGAAAGGUCUUACCCGAAUUCCAGAGUGAGUUGCAUGUUCAAUAUUUCUGCAGAAACUGAAAACCCUAGACUGAUGGAGGAGAGGAAACUUUUCCGAAAUUGUCAGGUUGAUAGAUUCUGACAUCUGUCACGUAAAAACGACGCCGUCUUUAAGUAUUUCUUCUUUAAAAAUAUCUAGU
RNAcentral lists this unclassified non-coding RNA (1441 nucleotides) under Hevea brasiliensis (rubber tree). The record is from RNAcentral. Lineage: Eukaryota; Viridiplantae; Streptophyta; Magnoliopsida; Malpighiales; Euphorbiaceae.